This 494-nucleotide ribosomal RNA is filed under the name uncultured bacterium. RNAcentral describes it as "partial 16S ribosomal RNA". It matches the Rfam family "Bacterial small subunit ribosomal RNA", at positions 28 to 507 of the family's 1533-position model. The record is from RNAcentral.
GACGAACGCUGGCGGCGUGCUUAACACAUGCAAGUCGAACGGUGAAGCGCCUUCCUUUUUGGUGGGUGUGGAUGAGUGGCGAACGGGUGAGUAACACGUGAGUAACCUGCCCCCUUCUUCUGGAUAACCGCAUGAAAGUGUGGCUAAUACGGGAUAUUCUGGGUCUGUCGCAUGAUGGGUCUGGGAAAGAUAUUGUUUCGGUGGGGGAUGGGCUCGCGGCCUAUCAGCUUGUUGGUGGGGUGAUGGCCUACCAAGGCGGUGACGGGUAGCCGGCCUGAGAGGGUGGACGGUCACACUGGGACUGAGACACGGGCCAGACUCCUACGGGAGGCAGCAGUGGGGAAUAUUGCACAAUGGGCGCAAGCCUGAUGCAGCGACGCCGCGUGAGGGAUGGAGGCCUUCGGGUUGUGAACCUCUUUCGCCAGUGAAGCAGGCCUGCCUCGUUUGUGGGUGGGUUGACGGUAGCUGGAGAAGAAGCGCCGGCUAACUACGUG